RNAcentral lists this ribosomal RNA (383 nucleotides) under uncultured eukaryote. RNAcentral describes it as "partial 18S ribosomal RNA". It matches the Rfam family "Eukaryotic small subunit ribosomal RNA", at positions 592 to 976 of the family's 1831-position model. The record is from RNAcentral.
CAAUAGCGUAUAUUAAAGUUGUUGCAGUUAAAAAGCUCGUAGUUGGAUUUCUGGUGGGAGCGAUCGGUCUGGCGCUUAGCGCGAGUACUUGCAUCGUCUCCGGCCAUCCUUGGGGAGAGACUGUCUGGCAUUAGGUUGUCGGGCAGAGGAUCCUCAUCGUUUACUGUGAAAAAAUUAGAGUGUUCAAAGCAGGCUUAUGCCGUUGAAUAUAUUAGCAUGGAAUAAUAAGAUAGGACUUUGGUACUAUUUUGUUGGUUUGCGCACCAAAGUAAUGAUUAAUAGGGACAGUUGGGGGUAUUCGUAUUCCGUUGUCAGAGGUGAAAUUCUUGGAUUUACGGAAGACGAACUACUGCGAAAGCAUUUACCAAGGAUGUUUUCAUUAA